AGAUCCGUUUCAGUCACUACAUCC
RNAcentral lists this non-coding RNA (24 nucleotides) under Arabidopsis thaliana (thale cress). Lineage: Eukaryota; Viridiplantae; Streptophyta; Magnoliopsida; Brassicales; Brassicaceae. The record is from RNAcentral.